Molecule: ribosomal RNA, 700 nt
Filed under: uncultured archaeon
Lineage: Archaea
Description: bacterial SSU rRNA
Rfam family: Archaeal small subunit ribosomal RNA
Source: RNAcentral
GGUAUAAACCCGGGAAACUGGGUAUAAUACCCGAUAGGUCUCGAUUGCUGGAAUGCAUCGAGAUUUAAAGCUCCGGCGCCUAAGGAUGGGUCUGCGGCCUAUCAGGUAGUAGUGGGUGUAGCGUACCUACUAGCCUACGACGGGUACGGGUUGUGAGAGCAAGAGCCCGGAGAUGGAUUCUGAGACACGAAUCCAGGCCCUACGGGGUGCAGCAGGCGCGAAAACUUUACAAUGCUGGCAACAGCGAUAAGGGAACCUCGAGUGCCAGGUUACAAAUCUGGCUGUCGAGAUGCCUAAAAAGCAUUUCAUAGCAAGGGCCGGGCAAGACCGGUGCCAGCCGCCGCGGUAACACCGGCGGCUCGAGUGGUAACCGUUAUUAUUGGGUCUAAAGGGUCUGUAGCCGGCCGGAUAAGUCUCUUGAGAAAUCUGGCAGCUUAACUGUCAGGCUUUCAGGAGAUACUGUCUGGCUCGAGGCCGGGAGAGGUGAGAGGUACUUCAGGGGUAGGGGUGAAAUCUUGUAAUCCUUGAAGGACCACCAGUGGCGAAGGCGUCUCACCAGAACGGACCUGACGGCAAGGGACGAAAGCUAGGGGCACGAACCGGAUUAGAUACCCGGGUAGUCCUAGCCGUAAACGAUACUCGCUAGGUGUCGGCCACGGUGCGACCGUUGUCGGUGCCGUAGGGAAGCCGUGAAGCGAGC